RNAcentral lists this ribosomal RNA (783 nucleotides) under uncultured bacterium. RNAcentral describes it as "bacterial SSU rRNA". It matches the Rfam family "Bacterial small subunit ribosomal RNA", at positions 62 to 857 of the family's 1533-position model. The record is from RNAcentral.
UUGAGCGGAGAUAUAUGGAGCUUGCUUUAUAUAACUUAGCAGCGAACGGGUGAGUAACACGUAGAUAAUCUAUCCUAUACUGGGGGAUAGCCCGAUGAAAGUUGGAUUAAUACCGCAUAUAGCUAUAUAGUUGCAUGAUUAUGUAGUGAGAGAUUUAUUGGUAUAGGAGGAGUCUGCGGCACAUUAGCUAGUAGGUGAGGUAAAGGCUUACCUAGGCGACGAUGUGUAGCCGGUCUGAGAGGAUGAACGGCCACAAUGGAACUGAGACACGGUCCAUACUCCUACGGGAGGCAGCAGUGGGGAAUAUUGCACAAUGGGGGAAACCCUGAUGCAGCAACGCCGCGUGAGUGAAGAAGGUUUUCGGAUUGUAAAGCUCUGUUAGCAGGGAAGAGGAAGGACGGUACCUGCAGAGGAAGCCACGGCUAACUACGUGCCAGCAGCCGCGGUAAUACGUAGGUGGCAAGCGUUGUUCGGAAUAACUGGGCGUAAAGGAUGCGUAGGCGGUUAAACAAGUUAUAUGUUAAAUAUAUAGGCUUAACCUGUAGAAAGCAUAUAAAACUGUUUAACUAGAGUGCAGGAGAGGUAAGUGGAAUUCCUAGUGUAGCGGUGAAAUGCGUAGAGAUUAGGAAGAACACCAGUGGCGAAGGCGACUUACUGGACUGUAACUGACGCUGAGGCAUGAGAGCAUGGGGAGCAAACAGGAUUAGAUACCCUGGUAGUCCAUGCUGUAAACGAUGGGUACUAGGUGUGGGUUGUGAAUAACAAUUCGUGCCGUCGCAAACG